GCAUGAUCGCAAGGACAUGUGGAGCGCUUAGAAGUGAGAAUGCCGGUGUGAGUAGCGAAAGACGGGUGAGAAUCCCGUCCACCGAUUGACUAAGGUUUCCAGAGGAAGGCUCGUCCGCUCUGGGUUAGUCGGGUCCUAAGCUGAGGCCGACAGGCGUAGGCGAUGGAUAACAGGUUGAUAUUCCUGUACCACCUAUAAUCGUUUUAAUCGAUGGGGGGACGCAGUAGGAUAGGCGAAGCGUGCGAUUGGAUUGCACGUCUAAGCAGUAAGGCUGAGUAUUAGGCAAAUCCGGUACUCGUUAAGGCUGAGCUGUGAUGGGGAGAAGACAUUGUGUCUUCGAGUCGUUGAUUUCACACUGCCGAGAAAAGCCUCUAGAUAGAAAAUAGGUGCCCGUACCGCAAACCGACACAGGUAGUCAAGAUGAGAAUUCUAAGGUGAGCGAGCGAACUCUCGUUAAGGAACUCGGCAAAAUGACCCCGUAACUUCGGGAGAAGGGGUGCUCUUUAGGGUUAACGCCCAGAAGAGCCGCAGUGAAUAGGCCCAAGCGACUGUUUAUCAAAAACACAGGUCUCUGCUAAACCGUAAGGUGAUGUAUAGGGGCUGACGCCUGCCCGGUGCUGGAAGGUUAAGAGGAGUGGUUAGCUUCUGCGAAGCUACGAAUCGAAGCCCCAGUAAACGGCGGCCGUAACUAUAACGGUCCUAAGGUAGCGAAAUUCCUUGUCGGGUAAGUUCCGACCCGCACGAAAGGCGUAACGAUUUGGGCACUGUCUCAACGAGAGACUCGGUGAAAUCAUAGUACCUGUGAAGAUGCAGGUUACCCGCGACAGGACGGAAAGACCCCGUGGAGCUUUACUGUAGCCUGAUAUUGAAAUUCGGCACAGCUUGUACAGGAUAGGUA
Molecule: ribosomal RNA, 898 nt
Filed under: Staphylococcus aureus
Lineage: Bacteria; Bacillati; Bacillota; Bacilli; Caryophanales; Staphylococcaceae
Description: partial 23S ribosomal RNA
Rfam family: Bacterial large subunit ribosomal RNA
Source: RNAcentral